This 400-nucleotide ribosomal RNA is filed under the name uncultured bacterium. Its description in RNAcentral is "bacterial SSU rRNA". It matches the Rfam family "Bacterial small subunit ribosomal RNA", at positions 356 to 773 of the family's 1533-position model. The record is from RNAcentral.
GGGGAAUAUUGGACAAUGGGCGCAAGCCUGAUCCAGCCAUGCCGCGUGAGUGAUGAAGGCCCUAGGGUUGUAAAGCUCUUCCAACGGUGAAGAUAAUAACGGUAACCGUAGAAGAAGCCCCGGCUAACUUCGUGCCAGCAGCCGCGGUAAUACGAAGGGGGCUAGCGAUGUUCGGAAUUACUGGGCGUAAAGCGCGCGUAGGCGGAUUGAUCAGUUAGGGGUGAAAUCCCGGGGCUUAACCCCGGAACUGCCUUUAAUACUGUUGAUCUAGAGUUCGAGAGAGGUGAGUGGAAUUCCGAGUGUAGAGGUGAAAUUCGUAGAUAUUCGGAGGAACACCAGUGGCGAAGGCGGCUCACUGGCUCGAUACUGACGCUGAGGUGCGAAAGCGUGGGGAGCAAAC